GUUUGAUUAUGGCUCAGAUUGAACGCUGGCGGCAGGCUUAACACAUGCAAGUCGAGCGGAAACGAAGGUAGCUUGCUACCAGACGUCGAGCGGCGGACGGGUGAGUAAUGCUUAGGAAUCUACCGAGUAGUGGGGGAUAGCCAUUGGAAACGAUGAUUAAUACCGCAUAUAUCCUACGGGGGAAAGCAGGGGACCUUCGGGCCUUGCGCUAUUCGAUGAGCCUGAGUGAGAUUAGCUAGUUGGUGGGGUAAAGGCCUACCAAGGCGACGAUCUCUAGCUGGUCUGAGAGGAUGAUCAGCCACACUGGGACUGAGACACGGCCCAGACUCCUACGGGAGGCAGCAGUGGGGAAUAUUGCACAAUGGACGAAAGUCUGAUGCAGCCAUGCCGCGUGUGUGAAGAAGGCCUUCGGGUUGUAAAGCACUUUCAGCGAGGAGGAAAGGUCAGUAAGUAAUAUUUGCUGGCUGUGACGUUACUCGCAGAAGAAGCACCGGCUAAUUUAGUGCCAGCAGCCGCGGUAAUACUAAAGGUGCAAGCGUUAAUCGGAAUUACUGGGCGUAAAGCGCGCGUAGGUGGUUUGUUAAGUUGGAUGUGAAAGCCCAGGGCUCAACCUUGGAACUGCAUUCAAAACUGACUCACUAGAGUACGAGAGAGGUUAGUGGAAUUUCCUGUGUAGCGGUGAAAUGCGUAGAGAUGGGAAGGAACACCAGUGGCGAAGCGACUGACUGGCUCGAU
This 735-nucleotide ribosomal RNA is filed under the name uncultured bacterium. RNAcentral describes it as "bacterial SSU rRNA". It matches the Rfam family "Bacterial small subunit ribosomal RNA", at positions 11 to 738 of the family's 1533-position model. The record is from RNAcentral.